RNAcentral lists this non-coding RNA (27 nucleotides) under Homo sapiens (human). Lineage: Eukaryota; Metazoa; Chordata; Mammalia; Primates; Hominidae. The record is from RNAcentral.
UACCUCGUCCCGAUGGUGAACUGCCUA